UACGGGAGGCAGCAGUGGGGAAUAUUGCACAAUGGGCGCAAGCCUGAUGCAGCCAUGCCGCGUGUAUGAAGAAGGCCUUCGGGUUGUAAAGUACUUUCAGUCGUGAGGAAGGUAUUAAGGUUAAUAACCUUAGCAAUUGACGUUAGCGACAGAAGAAGCACCGGCUAACUCCGUGCCAGCAGCCGCGGUAAUACGGAGGGUGCGAGCGUUAAUCGGAAUUACUGGGCGUAAAGGGCACGCAGGCGGUUAAUUAAGUUGGAUGUGAAAUCCCCGGGCUUAACCUGGGAAUGGCAUUCAAGACUGGUUAGCUAGAGUCUUGUAGAGGGGGUAGAAUUCCAUGUGUAGCGGUGAAAUGCGUAGAGAUGUGGAGGAAUACCGGUGGCGAAGGCGGCCCCUGGACAAAGACUGACGCUCAUGUGCGAAAGCGUGGGGAGCAAACAGGGAUUAGAUACC
RNAcentral lists this ribosomal RNA (453 nucleotides) under uncultured bacterium. Its description in RNAcentral is "bacterial SSU rRNA". It matches the Rfam family "Bacterial small subunit ribosomal RNA", at positions 340 to 786 of the family's 1533-position model. The record is from RNAcentral.